Molecule: long non-coding RNA, 230 nt
Organism: Limulus polyphemus (Atlantic horseshoe crab)
Lineage: Eukaryota; Metazoa; Arthropoda; Merostomata; Xiphosura; Limulidae
Exons: 2
Source: RefSeq, a predicted model, not a curated record
AAUGUUCAGCUCGAGAAUCGUUUGAUUUCACGUCCUGGUAUGAUGCUUCUUGCCGCUACGAACGAUGAAGGAAUGUGAAAGAAACGAGUCUGUUUUAGAAUGCACUUCAAUUAUUGUUUUAUGCACCAGACAAAUAAUACAAAUAUAAAUAUUAAUUGCAGGGUCAAAAGGUAUUAGAAAUAAUCUCUUGUAUACUUUAAACAUAUAUUAAAAUGAUAUUGUAUCACUGA